CCAAGCCUUCAUGACCAUGAACAAAAUGAGGUUCUGGGUGGAGACUGAAAAGAUCCUUUCAGCUUAAAAGAGAUUCAUUAUGAAUAAGUAUACUGGGCAAUUUAAUUUUGAUUUAACCCAACUGAGUAAACUGCUCAUCUCACCUAGCAGCAUGGACCACAGUUCAAAUGCUUAGUUACUGUCAUAACUUGCUUACAAGUUCAAAUAGCUUCCCAGGCAAAUAAAACUGCAAAUGGUCAUUAGCUUAAAUAUUACUUCCUACAAAAUGUCAUUCAUUUCAUAGUUGACAGCAGGAGCCCAGAGUUUUAUUACAACAGCCCCUCUCAGAGGCCUUGGGUGAGCACAUGGACCUGCACCUCUGCUGAGACACCAAACUGGCUUUGUUUGGUGCUUCUCCCAGGGAAACAGAGGGAAUAUUGUCCUGGAUUGAUUUAAUUGCUAGUCCAUGCAAAGCUGAAAAUCUUACAGAGCAAGCAGGAAUAACAUCAUUGUCCUC
RNAcentral lists this long non-coding RNA (496 nucleotides) under Chloebia gouldiae (Gouldian finch). RNAcentral's name for it is "Erythrura gouldiae (Gouldian finch) lncRNA (ENSEGOG00005002589.1)". The record is from RNAcentral. Lineage: Eukaryota; Metazoa; Chordata; Aves; Passeriformes; Passeridae.